UGGAGUUAAUGGAGUUAACUAGAGCUAACGAGGUGAUGAACAGGCUCUUCUCUGCUCAACAGCAACGAGACCAACAUGGACUGUAGAAGGAGCCUCGCAAUGCGGUGAGGAUCCCCAAGACAUCUGAUGAAUGAGUGAAUGCUGCUGCAGCCGUUCCUGCUGCUGACUUUGUGGCGUAUUUGUGACCUGUUC
This is a long non-coding RNA of Nothoprocta perdicaria, 192 nucleotides long. RefSeq lists it as uncharacterized. The transcript has 2 exons. Lineage: Eukaryota; Metazoa; Chordata; Aves; Tinamiformes; Tinamidae. The record is from RefSeq and is a predicted model, not a curated record.